Molecule: transfer RNA, 69 nt
Filed under: Ictidomys tridecemlineatus (thirteen-lined ground squirrel)
Lineage: Eukaryota; Metazoa; Chordata; Mammalia; Rodentia; Sciuridae
Description: Spermophilus tridecemlineatus (thirteen-lined ground squirrel) tRNA
Rfam family: tRNA
About the family: Transfer RNA (tRNA) molecules are approximately 80 nucleotides in length. Their secondary structure includes four short double-helical elements and three loops (D, anti-codon, and T loops).
Source: Rfam by way of RNAcentral
GGGGUUGUGGCUCAAGGGUAGAGCACUUGCCUUGCAUGCAUGAGGCACUGGAUUAGAUCCUUAGCACCA